Molecule: non-coding RNA, 30 nt
Filed under: Mus musculus (house mouse)
Lineage: Eukaryota; Metazoa; Chordata; Mammalia; Rodentia; Muridae
Source: RNAcentral
AAAUAACCCAAUUAUUUUAACCUACAUUCU